GAAAGCCACGGCGAACUAUGUGCCAGCAGCCGCGGUAAUACAUAGGUGGCAAGCGUUAUCCGGAUUUAUUGGGCGUACAGGGUGCGUAGGCGGUUGUGUAAGUUUGAGGUUAAAUCCCGGAGCUCAACUCCGGUCCGCCUUGAAAACUACAUGACUAGAAUACAAGAGAGGUAAAUGGAAUUCCAUGUGUAGCGGUAAAAUGCGUAGAUAUAUGGAAGAACACCUGUGGCGAAAGCGGUUUACCAGCUUGUUAUUGACGCUGAGGCACGAAAGCGUGGGGAGCAAAUAGGAUUAGAUACCCUAGUAGUCCACGCCGUAAACGUUGAGUACUAGGUGUCGGGAAUUAUCUCGGCGCCGCAGCUAACGCAUUAAGUACUCCGCCUGAGUAGUAUGCACGCAAGUGUGAAACUCAAAGGAAUUGACGGGGACCCGCACAAGUGGUGGAGCAUGUGGUUUAAUUCGAAGCAACACGAAGAACCUUACCAGGGCUUGACAUCCAGUGCAAAGGCAUAGAGAUAUGCUGGAGGCUAACAUUGAGACAGGUGGUGCAUGGUUGUCGUCAGUUCGUGCCGUGAGGUGUUUGGUUAAGUCCAGCAACGAACGCAACCCUUGUCAUUAGUUACUAACAUUUAGUUGAGGACUCUAAUGAGACUGCUAGUGUAAGCUAGAGGAAGGUGGGGAUGACGUCAAAUCAUCAUGCCCCUUAUGUCCUGGGCUACACACGUGCUACAAUGGCUGAUACAAAGAGUCGCAAUCUCGCAAGGAGGAGCUAAUCUCAUAAAAUCAGUCUCAGUUCGGAUUGAAGGCUGCAACUCGCCUUCAUGAAGCCGGAAUCACUAGUAAUCGCGAAUCAGCUAUGUCGCGGUGAAUACGUUCUCGGGUCUUGUACACACCGC
RNAcentral lists this ribosomal RNA (896 nucleotides) under uncultured Mesoplasma sp. RNAcentral's name for it is "bacterial SSU rRNA". It matches the Rfam family "Bacterial small subunit ribosomal RNA", at positions 486 to 1393 of the family's 1533-position model. Lineage: Bacteria; Bacillati; Mycoplasmatota; Mollicutes; Entomoplasmatales; Entomoplasmataceae. The record is from RNAcentral.